RNAcentral lists this ribosomal RNA (508 nucleotides) under uncultured bacterium. RNAcentral describes it as "bacterial SSU rRNA". It matches the Rfam family "Bacterial small subunit ribosomal RNA", at positions 19 to 518 of the family's 1533-position model. The record is from RNAcentral.
AUGGCUCAGGAUGAACGCUAGCUACAGGCUUAACACAUGCAAGUCGCGGGGCAGCAUGGUCUUAGCUUGCUAAGACUGAUGGCGACCGGCGCACGGGUGAGUAACGCGUAUCCAACCUUCCCUUAGUAGGGCAUAGCCCGGCGAAAGUCGGAUUAAUACCCUAUGUUCUUCGUAGAUGGCAUCUGAGACGAAGCAAAGGUUAGCGCUAAGGGAUGGGGAUGCGUCUGAUUAGGCAGUCGGCGGGGUAACGGCCCACCGAGCCUUCGAUCAGUAGGGGUUCUGAGAGGAAGGUCCCCCACAUUGGAACUGAGACACGGUCCAAACUCCUACGGGAGGCAGCAGUGAGGAAUAUUGGUCAAUGGGCGAGAGCCUGAACCAGCCAAGUAGCGUGCAGGACGACGGCCCUACGGGUUGUAAACUGCUUUUAUGCGGGGAUAAAGUGCCCUACGUGUAGGGUAUUGCAGGUACCGCAUGAAUAAGGACCGGCUAAUUCCGUGCCAGCAGCGGC